AGAAGAAGGGCUCUAGAUCUGUUUGAAGCACUUGAUGAUGAUAAUAGUGGAACAAUCGAUUCAGAUGAGUUUAUAGAAGGCUGUAUGAGAGACACUGAGUUCGUAGAAGUUCUGAGCACUUUUGAUGGCAGUGCUAUAUUCGAUGUAAAAUAAUCACAUCUUAUUUAUGAAGCAGAAUUAUGAAAUGUGUUCGUAUAAUGUGUAUCUAUGUGUAUUUAUGAAGCAGAAUUAUGAAAUGCGUUUGUGUAA
Eurytemora carolleeae is the source of this 249-nucleotide long non-coding RNA. RefSeq lists it as uncharacterized. The transcript has 2 exons. Lineage: Eukaryota; Metazoa; Arthropoda; Copepoda; Calanoida; Temoridae. The record is from RefSeq and is a predicted model, not a curated record.